RNAcentral lists this ribosomal RNA (276 nucleotides) under Triticum aestivum (bread wheat). RNAcentral describes it as "partial small subunit ribosomal RNA". Lineage: Eukaryota; Viridiplantae; Streptophyta; Magnoliopsida; Poales; Poaceae. The record is from RNAcentral.
AUGGAGACCGACUGUCUAGAGGCAGUUAACCUCUGGAACUCUCGCUACAUCGACCGGUCGGUGAUAGCACCUAUCUUCUCUGAAAUUGGAGAGCUAGCUCUUAGUUUCAUUUCUUUCAAUGUUCAACAUGUAAUAAGAUCAGCAAAUAGUCCUGCACAUCUGUGUGCUAAGCGUGGUACUACGCUUAAUGUGACUGAGAGCUGGUUAGAUACUACCCCUAGCUUACUGAUCAGCAACCUUCUGGCUGACUGCUCAGCGAAUGCUUUUGUUGAAUAA